RNAcentral lists this non-coding RNA (23 nucleotides) under Arabidopsis thaliana (thale cress). Lineage: Eukaryota; Viridiplantae; Streptophyta; Magnoliopsida; Brassicales; Brassicaceae. The record is from RNAcentral.
CACGGUAAGCCGCUUCCAUUGUC